AAAGAAUUAGUUUAUUAAAACAUUAGUAUGUCAUACUAAAAUUAUUAAAUAUAUUUAAUAUUCUUUU
Molecule: transfer RNA, 67 nt
Filed under: Allantus luctifer
Lineage: Eukaryota; Metazoa; Arthropoda; Insecta; Hymenoptera; Tenthredinidae
Description: tRNA-Asp
Source: RNAcentral